Vibrio sp. MEBiC08052 is the source of this 88-nucleotide non-coding RNA. The record is from Rfam. Lineage: Bacteria; Pseudomonadati; Pseudomonadota; Gammaproteobacteria; Vibrionales; Vibrionaceae.
AAUUAUGGUGGGCUGGGCAAGGCAGCUUCGGCUGGCUGCUAACCUUGUGGAGCGGUAUUCCUACACCUUGUUCCAGUUCACCACCCGA